Helianthus annuus (common sunflower) is the source of this 402-nucleotide long non-coding RNA. RefSeq lists it as uncharacterized. The transcript is spliced from 2 exons. The record is from RefSeq and is a predicted model, not a curated record. Lineage: Eukaryota; Viridiplantae; Streptophyta; Magnoliopsida; Asterales; Asteraceae.
AGCAGACAGUGAAUGGUCAAACUGGAGGGAGCUCUAGAAAAAAAACUUGAAUUUCCCUCUACAUCACAGUCUAGCUUAUAAAACAAGUUGAAUCUUCCACCACUCCACAUCACAUUCCAGUCUAUAAAACAAGUUGAAUCUCCCACCACUCCACAUCACAUUCCAGUCUAUAAAAGAACUUGAAUCUCCUACCACUCCACAUCACGGUACUUGAGUUCGCCUUCGGGAAUUAUGGCGUAUCUUGUGGUUGUUGAUGCAUGUUUGUUUUCUUAAUGUGUUGGACAAACUUUUAAAACAAUUUGGGACAAAUGUAAUAAGAUCCGUAAGGAUAAAGCCAACUUAACUAUGGUGUGGUUGUGAUGAACUUUAAGACUUAUGUUUAAAAAUCUAUGUUUUAAACAA